GGGGCCUUAGCUCAGCUGGGAGAGCGCCUGCUUUGCACGCAGGAGGUCAGCUCGAUCCGCUAGGCUCCA
This 69-nucleotide transfer RNA is filed under the name Streptococcus thermophilus. RNAcentral describes it as "tRNA-Ala". It matches the Rfam family "tRNA". Rfam says of the family: Transfer RNA (tRNA) molecules are approximately 80 nucleotides in length. Their secondary structure includes four short double-helical elements and three loops (D, anti-codon, and T loops). Further hydrogen bonds mediate the characteristic L-shaped molecular structure. tRNAs have two regions of fundamental functional importance: the anti-codon, which is responsible for specific mRNA codon recognition, and the 3' end, to which the tRNAs corresponding amino acid is attached (by aminoacyl-tRNA synthetases). tRNAs cope with the degeneracy of the genetic code in two manners: having more than one tRNA (with a specific anti-codon) for a particular amino acid; and 'wobble' base-pairing, i.e. permitting non-standard base-pairing at the 3rd anti-codon position. The record is from RNAcentral. Lineage: Bacteria; Bacillati; Bacillota; Bacilli; Lactobacillales; Streptococcaceae.